This 208-nucleotide unclassified non-coding RNA is filed under the name Hevea brasiliensis (rubber tree). The record is from RNAcentral. Lineage: Eukaryota; Viridiplantae; Streptophyta; Magnoliopsida; Malpighiales; Euphorbiaceae.
GUCCCCCAUGUAACAACUAGAGUAAAAGUCAACUUCCCAUAGGGAAGCAGUCAAAGUAAACCAAUUAAAAGAUCAAAAUUAAACUCAAAACACAACUUAAAGUAUGUCACAUGUUUGCUCAAAACAUCCUUAAAACACUAUAUAAGAGCAUAAUGAUUUAAACCUAAAGGAAGAUGCAGGAGGAGAUGCUUGAUACAAGCCAUUAGUU